Thalassophryne amazonica is the source of this 113-nucleotide long non-coding RNA. RefSeq lists it as uncharacterized. The record is from RefSeq and is a predicted model, not a curated record. The transcript is spliced from 3 exons. NCBI's taxonomy places the organism in Eukaryota, Metazoa, Chordata, Actinopteri, Batrachoidiformes, Batrachoididae.
AUCAACUUUUUUACUAAGUAUUAUUAUUAAUAUAAAUCAUCACUUUUACAACCAGCUUUCUUUAGACAAGCCAGGAGCUGAAGACAUGAACAUUUCCAAGUCAUUGAAUGUGU